This is a non-coding RNA of Ophiobolus disseminans, 74 nucleotides long. NCBI's taxonomy places the organism in Eukaryota, Fungi, Ascomycota, Dothideomycetes, Pleosporales, Phaeosphaeriaceae. The record is from the annotation of a GenBank genome assembly.
GGUCGAUUAGCUCAGUUGGUUAGAGCGUGGUGCUAAUAACGCCAAGGUCGCGGGUUCGACCCCCGUAUUGACCA